RNAcentral lists this ribosomal RNA (526 nucleotides) under Trigonopterus sulcatus. RNAcentral's name for it is "partial large subunit ribosomal RNA". It matches the Rfam family "Bacterial large subunit ribosomal RNA", at positions 1819 to 2625 of the family's 2925-position model. Lineage: Eukaryota; Metazoa; Arthropoda; Insecta; Coleoptera; Curculionidae. The record is from RNAcentral.
GGCUUGUUGAAUAUAAUUUCAAGUCCCACCUGCCCAAUGAUUAAAUUUAAUGGCCGCAGUAUAUUGACUGUGCAAAGGUAGCAUAAUCAUUAGUUUUUUAAUUGAAAGCUUGUAUGAAUGGUUAGAUGAAAAAUUGACUGUCUCUUUUUAAUUUUAUUAGAAUUUUAUUUUUAAGUGAAAAAGCUUAAAUUUUUAUAGAAGACGAGAAGACCCUAUAGAGUUUUAUAUUUAAACAAAAAAUUUUCUUUGUUUAUUUUUUUGUUUAAGUAUUUUAUUGGGGUGAUAGAAAAACUUGUAAAACUUUUUUUUUAUUUUUACAUUUAUUUAUGAAUUAUUGAUCCUAAAAUAUAGAUUAAAAGAUUUAAUUACCUUAGGGAUAACAGCGUAAUUUUUCUUAGAGUUCUUAUCAAAAGAAAAGAUUGCGACCUCGAUGUUGGAUUAAAAUAAAUUAUUGGUGCAGAAGCUUAUAAAUUUGGUCUGUUCGACCAUUAAAAUUUUACAUGAUCUGAGUUUAAACCGGUGUGAG